UACGUAGGGUGCGAGCGUUGUCCAGAAUUAUUGGGCGUAAAGAGCUUGUAGGCGGUUUGUCGCGUCUGCUGUGAAAAUCCGGGGCUCAACCCCGGACUUGCAGUGGGUACGGGCAGACUAGAGUGUGGUAGGGGAGACUGGAAUUCCUGGUGUAGCGGUGAAAUGCGCAGAUAUCAGGAGGAACACCGAUGGCGAAGGCAGGUCUCUGGGCCACUACUGACGCUGAGAAGCGAAAGCGUGGGGAGCGAACAGG
This 253-nucleotide ribosomal RNA is filed under the name uncultured bacterium. RNAcentral's name for it is "partial 16S ribosomal RNA". It matches the Rfam family "Bacterial small subunit ribosomal RNA", at positions 524 to 776 of the family's 1533-position model. The record is from RNAcentral.